This 508-nucleotide ribosomal RNA is filed under the name Chauliodes pectinicornis (summer fishfly). RNAcentral describes it as "partial 16S ribosomal RNA". It matches the Rfam family "Bacterial large subunit ribosomal RNA", at positions 1830 to 2594 of the family's 2925-position model. The record is from RNAcentral. Lineage: Eukaryota; Metazoa; Arthropoda; Insecta; Megaloptera; Corydalidae.
GUCUUUUUGAAUAUAAUUUACAGUCUAACCUGCCCACUGAAUUUUUUGAAGGGCCGCGGUAUUUUGACUGUGCAAAGGUAGCAUAAUCAUUAGUCUUUUAAUUGAAGGCUUGUAUGAAUGGUUGGAUGAGGUAAUAACUGUCUCAAAUUAAAAAAUAAUAAAAUUUUAUUUUUAAGUUAAAAAGCUUAAAUGUAAUUAGAGGACGAGAAGACCCUAUAGAUCUUUAUAUAUAAAUAAUUUUAAAUUAUUUAGUUUAAAUAUGUUUUUAUUUAUUAAUAUAUUUUAUUGGGGUGAUAAAAAAAUUUAAAAAACUUUUUUUUAAAAUAAACAAUGAUUUUUGAUUAAUUGAUCCAUUAUUAGUGAUUAAAAGAUUAAGUUACCUUAGGGAUAACAGCGUAAUUUUUUUGAAGAGUUCAUAUCGAUAAAAAAGAUUGCGACCUCGAUGUUGAAUUAAAGGUUAAUUUUAGGUGUAGAAGUUUAAAAUUUUGGUCUGUUCGACCAUUAAAUC